GGGAAUUUAGUUUAAUCGGUAGAGCAUUUAUCUUACAAAUAAAAUGAGGUAGUUCGAAUCUACCAAUUCCUA
This 72-nucleotide transfer RNA is filed under the name Smittium simulii. It matches the Rfam family "tRNA". Rfam says of the family: Transfer RNA (tRNA) molecules are approximately 80 nucleotides in length. Their secondary structure includes four short double-helical elements and three loops (D, anti-codon, and T loops). Lineage: Eukaryota; Fungi; Kickxellomycota; Harpellomycetes; Harpellales; Legeriomycetaceae. The record is from Rfam by way of RNAcentral.